Molecule: ribosomal RNA, 441 nt
Filed under: uncultured bacterium
Lineage: Bacteria
Description: partial 16S ribosomal RNA
Rfam family: Bacterial small subunit ribosomal RNA
Source: RNAcentral
CCUACGGGAGGCCGCAGUGGGGAAUAUUUCACAAUGGGGGAAACCCUGAUGCAGCAACGCCGCGUGAGUGCGGAAGUAUUUCGGUAUGUAAACCUCUAUCAGCAGUGAAUAGACAAGAAGGUACCUGAAAAAGCAGCCCCGGCUAACUACGUGCCAGCCGCCGCGGUAAUACGUAGGGGGCAAGCGUUAUCCGGAAUUACUGGGUGUAAAGGGAGCGUAGACGGAAAGGCAAGUCAGAAGUGAACACCCAGGGCUCAACCUGGGGACUGCUUUUGAAACUGUCAAUCUAGAGUCCGGGAGAGGUAAGAGGAAUUCCGAGUGUAGCGGUGAAAUGCGUAGAUAUUAGGAGGAACACCAGUGGCGAAGGCGUCAUACUGGACCGAAACUGACGUUGAGGCUCGAAAGUGUGGGGAGCAAACAGGAUUAGAUACCCGUGUAGUC